This 433-nucleotide ribosomal RNA is filed under the name uncultured bacterium. RNAcentral describes it as "partial 16S ribosomal RNA". It matches the Rfam family "Bacterial small subunit ribosomal RNA", at positions 29 to 507 of the family's 1533-position model. The record is from RNAcentral.
AACGAACGCUGGCGGCAUGCCUAACACAUGCAGGUCGAACGAGACCUUCGGGUCUAGUGGCGCACGGGUGCGUAACGCGUGGGAACCUGCCCUUAGGUUCGGAAUAACUCCCCGAAAGGGGUGCUAAUACCGGAUAAUGUCUUCGGACCAAAGAUUUAUCGCCUUUGGAUGGGCCCGCGUUGGAUUAGCUAGUUGGUAGGGUAAAAGCCUACCAAGGCGACAAUCCAUAGCUGGUCUGAGAGGAUGAUCAGCCACACUGGGACUGAGACACGGCCCAGACUCCUACGGGAGGCAGCAGUGGGGAAUAUUGGACAAUGGGCGAAAGCCUGAUCCAGCAAUGCCGCGUGAGUGAUGAAGGCCUUAGGGUUGUAAAGCUCUUUUACCCGGGAUGAUAAUGACAGUACCGGGAGAAUAAGCUCCGGCUAACUCCGUG